RNAcentral lists this ribosomal RNA (656 nucleotides) under uncultured bacterium. RNAcentral's name for it is "bacterial SSU rRNA". It matches the Rfam family "Bacterial small subunit ribosomal RNA", at positions 124 to 775 of the family's 1533-position model. The record is from RNAcentral.
AUAUGCCUUAAGGUGGGGGACAACAGUUGGAAACGACUGCUAAUACCGCAUAAUGUCUACGGACCAAAGGAGGGGCUCUUCGGACCUUUCGCCUUUUGAUUAGCCCAAGUGAGAUUAGCUAGUAGGUAAGGUAAUGGCUUACCUAGGCGACGAUCUCUAGCUGGUUUGAGAGGAUGAUCAGCCACACUGGGACUGAGACACGGCCCAGACUCCUACGGGAGGCAGCAGUGGGGAAUAUUGCACAAUGGGCGCAAGCCUGAUGCAGCCAUGCCGCGUGUGUGAAGAAGGCCUUCGGGUUGUAAAGCACUUUCAGUAAGGAGGAAAGGUUAAGUUUUAAUAGAGCUUAGCUGUGACGUUACUUACAGAAGAAGCACCGGCUAACUCCGUGCCAGCAGCCGCGGUAAUACGGAGGGUGCGAGCGUUAAUCGGAAUUACUGGGCGUAAAGCGUACGCAGGCGGUUUGUUAAGCGAGAUGUGAAAGCCCCGGGCUCAACCUGGGAACUGCAUUUCGAACUGGCAAACUAGAGUGUGAUAGAGGGUGGUAGAAUUUCAGGUGUAGCGGUGAAAUGCGUAGAGAUCUGAAGGAAUACCGAUGGCGAAGGCAGCCACCUGGGUCAACACUGACGCUCAUGUACGAAAGCGUGGGGAGCAAACAG